This 788-nucleotide ribosomal RNA is filed under the name uncultured bacterium. RNAcentral's name for it is "bacterial SSU rRNA". It matches the Rfam family "Bacterial small subunit ribosomal RNA", at positions 8 to 796 of the family's 1533-position model. The record is from RNAcentral.
AGAGUUUGAUCCUGGCUCAGAAUGAACGCUAGCGGCGUGCCUUAUGCAUGCAAGUCGAACGGUUCCGAUUUAUCGGGAUAGUGGCGAACGGGUGAGUAACGCGUAAGUAACCUGCCCUCAAGUAGGGGAUAACUCUGAGAAAUUGGAGCUAAUACCUUAUGUGGUGAUGGAGAUAGUACUUCAUCACUAAAGCCUUAGGGCGCUUGAGGAUGGGCUUGCGUCCGAUUAGCUAGUUGGUGGGGUAACGGCCUACCAAGGCAACGAUGCAUAGCCGACCUGAGAGGGUGAUCGGCCACAUUGGGACUGAGACACGGCCCAAGCUCCUACGGGAGGCAGCAGUAGGGAAUCUUCCACAAUGGACGAAAGUCUGAUGGAGCAACGCCGCGUGAGUGAUGAAGGUUUUCGGAUCGUAAAACUCUGUUGUAAGGGAAGAACAAGUACGUUAGGAAAUGAACGUACCUUGACGGUACCUUAUUAGAAAGCCACGGCUAACUACGUGCCAGCAGCCGCGGUAAUACGUAGGUGGCAAGCGUUGUCCGGAUUUACUGGGCGUAAAGCGCACGUAGGCGGCUAUUCAAGUCAGAGGUGAAAGCCCGGGGCUCAACCCCGGAACUGCCUUUGAAACUAGAUAGCUUGAAUCCAGGAGAGGUGAGUGGAAUUCCGAGUGUAGAGGUGAAAUUCGUAGAUAUUCGGAAGAACACCAGUGGCGAAGGCGGCUCACUGGACUGGUAUUGACGCUGAGGUGCGAAAGCGUGGGGAGCAAACAGGAUUAGAUACCCUGGUAGUCC